UGGAAAGUGUGGGUGGCCUUUGGAGCACGUUGGGUACAGCUGUGUCACCACCAUGGAUGUGAGGUCAGGGCAAGCUGCUCCUCGGGCUGGAAAAGCUGCUGUGUGUUGGUGAAGCCCUUGGAAAUCUCAGCAUCUGUGCUCUGGAACGUUGGAGCAGUUGGGUGCUGGGUGUGAAAUAGAAGCUGGGGUGCUCUGGGUGGUAACUGUGAGUCUUUCUGAUGCCUCAGGUGCUGACCCUGUCCCAGGUCCUGCCAGGGAGGGAGCUGUGCUUGGGAGCAGGCCUUGCAGAUGUGCUUGAUGAGGUCAGGGGAGAGCUCACAACUGGAUGUUGCAUUUCCUUAAGAGCUGUGUCCCAGAUGAUACUCGGAGAGGGAGCUCUCCCCAGACUGUGUUAAAAGCACAAGAACUGAGGAUUCUUUUCAAUGCGGG
Long non-coding RNA from Vidua chalybeata, 429 nucleotides. RefSeq lists it as uncharacterized. The transcript has 3 exons. Lineage: Eukaryota; Metazoa; Chordata; Aves; Passeriformes; Viduidae. The record is from RefSeq and is a predicted model, not a curated record.